RNAcentral lists this long non-coding RNA (2433 nucleotides) under Sus scrofa (pig). Its description in RNAcentral is "lncRNA (ENSSSCG00050065890.1)". The record is from RNAcentral. Lineage: Eukaryota; Metazoa; Chordata; Mammalia; Artiodactyla; Suidae.
AUUCCAGUAGGAUGNUGUGGUGUGGGUCACAGACGCGGCUCGGAUCCCGAGUUGCUAUGGCUCUGGUGUAGGACAGAAGCUGUAGCUCCAAUUUGACCCCUAGCCUGGGAGCCUACAUAUGCCGUGGGUGUGGCCCUAAAAACCAAAAUAAAAAUAAAAUUAAAAUCGAGAAUAGACAAAAAAAAUUGAGAAAGAACGACAUUGGAGGAUUUACACUGAUUUUAAGACUUACCACAAAGCUAUAGUAAUCGACACUGUGGUAAUUGUGCGGAGACAGGCAUAUGGACCCACGGAACAGAACAGAGAGUCUAAAAAUAGACCACACACAUAUGGUCAAUUGCUUUCUGUCCAGGCUGCCAAGGAAUUUCAAUGGAGAGAGGGCAGUCUUUCCACAAAGUGGUGCUGGGAUAACUGGAUAUCCAUAUGGAAAAACAGGGACACUUACCUUACUCCAUGUAAAAAAUUAACCCCAAAUGGAUCUUAUACCUAGCUGUGAAAACUAACACUAUAAAAUUUCCAGGAGGAAAUCUUUGCCAUCUUGAAUUAGGCAUAGAAGUCUUAGACAUGAUCUCCCAAAAAAGCAUAAAUGUAAGAGAAAAAAUGACCAGUUGGACUUCAUCAAAAUCAACAACUUUGAACCUUUGAACAACAUUGUUAAAAAAAUAAAGACAAAGAACGUAUGUGACAUAAAGUACUAGUAUUCAGAACGAACGUGUAAAGAAUUCUUGCAACUCAAGAAUAAGACAAUGACAGGUAAAAAAUGGGGAAAACAUUUGAACAAACAAAAUACACAAUGACAAAACACAAAAAAAAGAUAUUCAGCGUUAGAUUACUAGUCAUAAGGGAACACAAAUUAAGACUACAGAUAUACUGUAACAACCUAAAUGUCCAUUGACAGAGGAGUGGAUCAAGAAGAUGUGGUACAUAUACACAAUGGAAUAUUACUCAGCCAUUAAAAGGAACGAAAUACCAGCAUUUUUAGCAACAUGGAUGGACCUACAAAUUAUCAUGUUAAGCGAAGUCAGUCAGACAGUGAGACACCAACAUCAAAUGCUCUCACUGACAUGUGGAAUCUGAAAAAAGGACAGACUGAACUUCCUUGCAGAACAGAUGCUGACUCAGACAUUGAAAAACUUACGGUCUCUGGAGGAGACAGUGUGGAGGGGCGGGGGGAUGUGCUUGGGUUGUGGGAUGGAAAUCCUGUGAAAUUGGAUUGUUAUGGUCAUUAUACAACUACAGAUGUGAUAAAUUCAUUUGAGUAAAAAAAAAAACUAUAAAGAUACUAACAAUGCUAUUAACAUAUGUAAAGUUAAAAACAAAACAAGGAGGACCAUCCCAAGUGUUGACCAGGAUAUGGAGCAACUGGAACUCUCAAACGUUGCUGCUGACACUGCAAAAUGGUGCAGUCACUUAAGGUAGCCCUUAAUUAAACCUUUUUUUUUUUUUUUUUUUUUUUUUGGCAUGCACCUGCACAUGGAAGUUCCCAGGCUGGGGAUCAAAUCCAAGCUGCAGCUUCAACCAACACCACAGCUGCUGCAAUGCCAGAUCCUUAACCCACAGGGCCACAGCCGAAACUCCAAAGGUAAACCUAUAUUUUCCGUAUGACCCAGCUUUCUGGCUCCUAGAUAUUUAACCCCCCACCCCCUGCAAAAGAGAAAACAUUGCAUAUAACAUAUUUGUAAUAGCCCAAAACUGGUAAACCAUUCCAAAGUCUGUCAACUGAAUGGCUAGUCAAAUUCUAGUGCAUCCAUACAACGCAAGACCCCUCAGCAAUGAAAAGAAACAAAGCACCCAUCCCCUCGCUGAGGAAUCUCAGACGUACCACGCUCAGUGAAAGAAGCUAGACCCCAAAGGAGCCAUGUCAUCUGAUCCUAUUUGUAUGAAAUUGUAGAAUUACAGCAAAGGCAAAACUAUAGAGAGGGGAUCUAACUGUGGGGUCUGAGAGGGAGGGGGAGGGGAGGGGGAUUCUGUAAUGGGUCAUUAAUGAGCUUUUUGAAGUGAUGUAAUUAUUCCAUAUCUUGAUUAUAUUAGUGGUUACAAAACGUACCCAUUUGUCAAAACGCCAGUCAAUUUCGUUUUAUAUAAAUUAGUAAAUCAGAUUUUUUUUUUUUAAGCCAGAGUCCUAGCUUUUGAGCCUCUUCCUAAAUUUAGGAAUGAGCAGUAGGGCUAGGGGUUUGGAAGGAUCUCCUGGGUUCGACAGCCCUUCCCCCAUUUGCAGCAGGUAAAGAUCCCACGUGGGCGCUUCCACCGUCGGCGAUCGGCCCCCACCGGCUGGGCGCGGCCAGCGGAGCACAGGCAGGGUUCAGGGCAUUCCUGAUCUCUCCGCGGCCGUCACUCCUUGACGCCUCGCCCCAGCCAGGCUCUGGGACAUCCUAAUGCACCUCCUCACCUUUGGCUCCAAGCUGCGGCUGUUACUGUUCUUAACGCCCCCCC